RNAcentral lists this ribosomal RNA (638 nucleotides) under uncultured bacterium. Its description in RNAcentral is "bacterial SSU rRNA". It matches the Rfam family "Bacterial small subunit ribosomal RNA", at positions 53 to 660 of the family's 1533-position model. The record is from RNAcentral.
GCGCACUGGCCCAACUGAUCUGACGUGCUUGCGCUGAAGUGACGAUCCAUUACCAGUGAGCGGCGGACGGGUGAGUAACACGUGGGCAACCUGCCCUGAAGCGGGGGAUAACAUUUGGAAACAGGUGCUAAUACCGCAUAACAACGAAAACCACAUGGUUUUCGUUUCAAAGAUGGUUUCGGCUAUCACUUCAGGAUGGGCCCGCGGUGCAUUAGCUUGUUGGUAGGGUAACGGCCUACCAAGGCAAUGAUGCAUAGCCGAGUUGAGAGACUGAUCGGCCACAAUGGAACUGAGACACGGUCCAUACUCCUACGGGAGGCAGCAGUAGGGAAUCUUCCACAAUGGGCGCAAGCCUGAUGGAGCGACACCGCGUGAGUGAAGAAGGGUUUCGGCUCGUAAAGCUCUGUUGUUGAAGAAGAACGUGCGUGAGAGCAACUGUUCACGCAGUGACGGUAUUCAACCAGAAAGUCACGGCUAACUACGUGCCAGCAGCCGCGGUAAUACGUAGGUGGCAAGCGUUAUCCGGAUUUAUUGGGCGUAAAGCGAGCGCAGGCGGUUGCUUAAGUCUGAUGUGAAAGCCUUCGGCUUAACCGAAGAAGUGCAUCGGAAACUGAGCGACUUGAGUGCAGAAGAGGACA